CGCAGCAGAAGAAACAGUCCCAAAACUGUUGGAAACAGAACAAGCAGGGCAGGAUGAAAAGGCAGAGAAUCCAAAACCAAAUGAAGAGACGGGAGGAGCGUUAGACUUUGACGAAGUGUUGAAGGAAAACGAUAAUGGGGCGGAGAAAGAAGAAGAUGAGAGCCUAGGGUUCUCGAAAGGGGAUCCAAAAGGGGAAGCGGAUGAUGAGAAAGAGAAGCCUGACAUUGUGGCGGGUCCUUUUAGCGGGGUUUUUCUUGUUUUGAAUAGAGGGUGUCUGGAGGGUUUGUUUCUUCAAUUAAUCAAAGGAUCCGAGCACGGACUAGUAAUGAACCAGAGUGGUCGAUCCCUUGGCUCUGAAAAAGAUGGUAGCACGUAGAAAGCUCACUUUUUGAGGUGAGUGCCAGGCAG
This 408-nucleotide unclassified non-coding RNA is filed under the name Hevea brasiliensis (rubber tree). Lineage: Eukaryota; Viridiplantae; Streptophyta; Magnoliopsida; Malpighiales; Euphorbiaceae. The record is from RNAcentral.